AAAUAAAAAAAACACACAUGCAUGUUACCUCUGUGCUAUCGUAUCUCACUUUGUAAAUACAACUACUGAAAAUAUCGAAGAAAGGCCAAAUAGAAUUCAAAGACAACCGCAUUGAUUAUGUACAGAAUGACAAAAGCGUAUGUUCUUUAUUGAAAAUUGCAUGUUUAAAUGAUCAUUGGUUGCGCGUAUGGAUAAUAGGAAUAUGUAAUUAGAACUGUGCUAUUUUUACUUCAUACGUAAGUCAUACCGGUAGAAACGUUAUAUUUUCAAAACCGAGACAUACAUUAUUAUAUCAUUAGAAUAUUCAAGUAUGGAUGACAGUAAAAAGGGAAACGAAAGUGAAAAGAUCUUAGAUGUCCCUAUGUCCAGUUUAGUAGCGAGUUACUCUCCGCCGAAAAA
This is a long non-coding RNA of Ruditapes philippinarum (Manila clam), 399 nucleotides long. RefSeq lists it as uncharacterized. NCBI's taxonomy places the organism in Eukaryota, Metazoa, Mollusca, Bivalvia, Venerida, Veneridae. The transcript has 2 exons. The record is from RefSeq and is a predicted model, not a curated record.